UUGAACGCUGGCGGCAGGCCUAACACAUGCCAGUCGAACGGUAACAGGAAGAAGCUUGCUUCUUUGCUGACGAGUGGCGGACGGGUGAGUAAUGUCUGGGAAACUGCCUGAUGGAGGGGGAUAACUACUGGAAACGGUAGCUAAUACCGCAUAACGUCGCAAGACCAAAGAGGGGGACCUUCGGGCCUCUUGCCAUCGGAUGUGCCCAGAUGGGAUUAGCUAGUAGGUGGGGUAACGGCUCACCUAGGCGACGAUCCCUAGCUGGUCUGAGAGGAUGACCAGCCACACUGGAACUGAGACACGGUCCAGACUCCUACGGGAGGCAGCAGUGGGGAAUAUUGCACAAUGGGCGCAAGCCUGAUGCAGCCAUGCCGCGUGUAUGAAGAAGGCCUUCGGGUUGUAAAGUACUUCAGCGGGGAGGAAGGGAGUAAAGUUAAUACCUUUGCUCAUUGACGUUACCCGCAGAAGAAGCACCGGCUAACUCCGUG
Molecule: ribosomal RNA, 488 nt
Filed under: uncultured bacterium
Lineage: Bacteria
Description: partial 16S ribosomal RNA
Rfam family: Bacterial small subunit ribosomal RNA
Source: RNAcentral